This 920-nucleotide ribosomal RNA is filed under the name uncultured organism. RNAcentral's name for it is "bacterial SSU rRNA". It matches the Rfam family "Bacterial small subunit ribosomal RNA", at positions 1 to 917 of the family's 1533-position model. The record is from RNAcentral.
UGGAUCCAGACUUUGAUUAUGGCUCAGGAUGAACGCUGGCGGCGUGCUUAACACAUGCAAGUCGAACGAAGCACUCUAUUUGAUUUUCUUCGGAGAUGAAGAUUUUGUGACUGAGUGGCGGACGGGUGAGUAACGCGUGGGUAACCUGCCUCAUACAGGGGGAUAACAGUUGGAAACGACUACUAGUACCGCAUAAGCGCACGGUACCGCAUGGUACCGUGUGAAAAACUCCGGUGGUAUGAGAUGGACCCGCGUCUGAUUAGCUAGUUGGUGGGGUAACAGCCUACCAAGGCGACGAUCAGUAGCCGACCUGAGAGGGUGACCGGCCACAUUGGGACUGAGACACGGCCCAAACUCCUACGGGAGGCAGCAGUGGGGAAUAUUGCACAAUGGGGGAAACCCUGAUGCAGCGACGCCGCGUGAGCGAAGAAGUAUUUCGGUAUGUAAAGCUCUAUCAGCAGGGAAGAAAAAAUGACGGUACCUGACUAAGAAGCACCGGCUAAAUACGUGCCAGCAGCCGCGGUAAUACGUAUGGUGCAAGCGUUAUCCGGAUUUACUGGGUGUAAAGGGAGCGCAGGCGGUGCGGCAAGUCUGAUGUGAAAGCCCGGGGCUCAACCCCGGUACUGCAUUGGAAACUGUCGUACUAGAGUGUCGGAGGGGUAAGUGGAAUUCCUAGUGUAGCGGUGAAAUGCGUAGAUAUUAGGAGGAACACCAGUGGCGAAGGCGGCUUACUGGACGAUAACUGACGCUGAGGCUCGAAAGCGUGGGGAGCAAACAGGAUUAGAUACCCUGGUAGUCCACGCUGUAAACGAUGAAUACUAGGUGUUGGAGAGCAUUGCUCUUCGGUGCCGCAGCAAACGCAAUAAGUAUUCCACCUGGGGAGUACGUUCGCAAGAAUGCAACUCAAAGGAAUUGACGGA